CACUCCUGCGGGAGGCAGCAGUGGGGAAUUUUGGACAAUGGGCGAAAGCCUGAUCCAGCAAUGCCGCGUGAGUGAAGAAGGCCUUCGGGUUGUAAAGCUCUUUUGUCAGGGAAGAAACGGUGAAAGCUAAUAUCUUUUGCUAAUGACGGUACCUGAAGAAUAAGCACCGGCUAACUACGUGCCAGCAGCCGCGGUAAUACGUAGGGUGCAAGCGUUAAUCGGAAUUACUGGGCGUAAAGCGUGCGCAGGCGGUUUUGUAAGUCUGAUGUGAAAUCCCCGGGCUCAACCUGGGAAUUGCAUUGGAGACUGCAAGGCUAGAAUCUGGCAGAGGGGGGUAGAAUUCCACGUGUAGCAGUGAAAUGCGUAGAUAUGUGGAGGAACACCGAUGGCGAAGGCAGCCCCCUGGGUCAAGAUUGACGCUCAUGCACGAAAGCGUGGGGAGCAAACAGGAUUAGAAACCCGAGUAGUCCCAUU
RNAcentral lists this ribosomal RNA (474 nucleotides) under uncultured organism. Its description in RNAcentral is "partial 16S ribosomal RNA". It matches the Rfam family "Bacterial small subunit ribosomal RNA", at positions 334 to 799 of the family's 1533-position model. The record is from RNAcentral.